Molecule: ribosomal RNA, 320 nt
Filed under: uncultured eukaryote
Lineage: Eukaryota
Description: partial 18S ribosomal RNA
Rfam family: Eukaryotic small subunit ribosomal RNA
Source: RNAcentral
CCCUUAGAUGUUCUGGGCCGCACGCGCGCUACACUGAUACAUGCAACGAGUUUAUAACCUUGAUCUGACGGUCUGGGUAAUCUUCAAACUGUAUCGUGUUAGGGAUCGAUUCUUGCAAUUUUUAAUCGUAAACGAGGAAUUCCUAGUAAACGCAAGUCAUCAGCUUGCAUUGAUUACGUCCCUGCCCUUUGUACACACCGCCCGUCGCACCUACCGAUUGAAUGGUCCGGUGAAAUCUCGGGACGGCGGCUUGGUCGCUUGCGUCCGACUGCUGAAACUUGAUUAAACCAUAUCAUUUAGAGGAAGGUGAAGUCGUAACA